GGCCUAUCGAUCCUUUAACUUUACAAGUUUUAAGCUAGAGGUGUCAGAAAAGUUACCACAGGGAUAACUGGCUUGUGGCAGCCAAGCGCCCAUAGCGACGUUGCUUUUUGAUCCUUCGAUGUCGGCUCUUCCUAUCAUUGUGAUGUACAAGUCACAACGUGUUGGAUUGUUCACCCGUUAAUAGGGAACGUGAGCUGGGUUUAGACCGUCGUGAGACAGGUUAGUUUUACCCCUACUGAUGAAUCGAUGUUGCGACAGUAAUCUUACUUAGUACGAAAGGAACCGUUAGAUCAGAUAAUUGGUUAAUACGGUUAGCUGAAAAGCUAAUGCCGUGAAGCUACCAUCUGUUGGAUUAUGACUGAAAGCCUCUAAGUCAGAAACCAUGCUGGAAAGCAACGUCCAAUCAAUAAUAAAUGAAAAAGAAUAAGGGAAACCUUUAGUUCAGUAAGGGAGCGGCGAAACUCGAAAGAGCAUAGCCUAACCAGAAUAAAUUUAAUAUUAUUGUAACAGAUCUUCUGUAGACG
RNAcentral lists this ribosomal RNA (524 nucleotides) under uncultured eukaryote. RNAcentral's name for it is "eukaryotic LSU rRNA". It matches the Rfam family "Eukaryotic large subunit ribosomal RNA", at positions 2762 to 3313 of the family's 3401-position model. The record is from RNAcentral.